Molecule: ribosomal RNA, 263 nt
Filed under: uncultured bacterium
Lineage: Bacteria
Description: partial 16S ribosomal RNA
Rfam family: Bacterial small subunit ribosomal RNA
Source: RNAcentral
GUCCACGCCGUAAACGUUGGGCACUAGGUGUGGGAUGCUGUCAACGCCUUCCGUGCCGUAGCUAACGCAUUAAGUGCCCCGCCUGGGGGAGUACGGCCGCAAGGCUAAAACUCAAAGGAAUUGACGGGGGCCCGCACAAGCGGCGGAGCAUGUUGCUUAAUUCGAUGCAACGCGAAGAACCUUACCUGGGUUUGACAUGUAGGGAAAAGCCAUAGAGAUAUGGUGUCCUUCGGGGCCCUACACAGGUGGUGCAUGGCUGUCGU